CAUUUCUAGCUUGCUAGAAGAUGACGAGUGGCGGACGGGUGAGUAAUGCUUGGGAACUUGCCUUCAGGAGGGGGAUAACAGUUGGAAACGACUGCUAAUACCGCAUAACGUCUACGGACCAAAGCGGGCUUCGGCUCGCACCUGAAGAGAGGCCCAAGUGAGAUUAGCUAGUUGGUAAGGUAAAGGCUUACCAAGGCGACGAUCUCUAGCUGUUCUGAGAGGAAGAUCAGCCACACUGGGACUGAGACACGGCCCAGACUCCUACGGGAGGCAGCAGUGGGGAAUAUUGCACAAUGGGGGAAACCCUGAUGCAGCCAUGCCGCGUGUGUGAAGAAGGCCUUCGGGUUGUAAAGCACUUUCAGUUGUGAGGAAAAGUUAGUAGUUAAUACCUGCUAGCCGUGACGUUAACAACAGAAGAAGCACCGGCUAACUCCGUGCCAGCAGCCGCGGUAAUACGGAGGGUGCGAGCGUUAAUCGGAAUUACUGGGCGUAAAGCGCACGCAGGCGGUUUGUUAAGCUAGAUGUGAAAGCCCCGGGCUCAACCUGGGAUGGUCAUUUAGAACUGGCAGACUAGAGUCUUGGAGAGGGGAGUGGAAUUCCAGGUGUAGCGGUGAAAUGCGUAGAUAUCUGGAGGAACAUCAGUGGCGAAGGCGACUCCCUGGCCAAAGACUGACGCUCAUGUGCGAAAGUGUGGGUAGCGAACAGGAUUAGAUACCCUGGUAGUCCACACCGUAAACGCUGUCUACUAGCUGUGUGUGCCUUUAAGGCGUGCGUAGCGAAGCUAACGCGCUAAGUAGACCGCCUGGGGAGUACGGCCGCAAGGUUAAAACUCAAAUGAAUUGACGGGGGCCCGCACAAGCGGUGGAGCAUGUGGUUUAAUUCGAUGCAACGCGAAGAACCUUACCUACACUUGACAUGCUGAGAACUUUCUAGAGAUAGAUUGUGCCUUCGGGACUCAGACACAGUGCUGCAUGCUGUCGUCAGCUCGUGUCGUGAGAUGUGGGUAGUCCGCACGAGCGCAUCAUGUCUAGUGCAGCUAGUGGCACUCUAGAGACUGCGGUGACAACUCGGAGAGGUGGGACGACGUCAGUCAUCAUGGCCUUACUGUAAGCUACCACUGCUACAAUGGCAUUACAAGGGAGGCGAGACGUGAUGUGGAGCGACCCCUACAAAGUCGGAUCGGAUGGAGGUCGGCCCUCCACUCUUGAUCGGAUUCCUGAUAUUACGGCCCAAAAUCUUCGUGGGAAGAAAAU
This 1253-nucleotide ribosomal RNA is filed under the name uncultured Alteromonas sp. RNAcentral's name for it is "partial 16S ribosomal RNA". It matches the Rfam family "Bacterial small subunit ribosomal RNA", at positions 70 to 1369 of the family's 1533-position model. The record is from RNAcentral. Lineage: Bacteria; Pseudomonadati; Pseudomonadota; Gammaproteobacteria; Alteromonadales; Alteromonadaceae.